RNAcentral lists this long non-coding RNA (4013 nucleotides) under Ananas comosus (pineapple). RNAcentral describes it as "long non-coding RNA (ACOM_LNC030552)". The record is from RNAcentral. Lineage: Eukaryota; Viridiplantae; Streptophyta; Magnoliopsida; Poales; Bromeliaceae.
UUUUUUUUCGAUAUCAUGUUUAAGCGCUACAUUAUUUGUGGUUGAUCUGGGACGCGAGGAUUCUUCGAUUUUGUUACCUCUCUGAAAUUAGUAGGAUUCAUUUUUUUAUAAUCUUUUUCCUAAUUAAUCUUUGUAAAUAUUUUCAAUUUCUGUAAAUUACAAUGUAAAUCUCAAAAUGUGAUUAAUUUUUUUCUUUUUUCUUUUUUAAAUUAUUUAGUAAGAAUUAGAAUUUUUUAUUUUUUAAAUUAUUUAGUAAAAAUUAGCAUCUAAAUGAACUAUUUGGUUGUACUACAAUGAUAAAUAUAUGCAGAUUUAUCAUUUUGUACUUUACCGUUGCCUUAAAUAGAUGCCAAAAUUUUGUGAUAAUUGACAAAUAUUGCGUCAAUUACCAAAUUUGCAAUGUAAAAAGAAAUAUAAAAUUAAAUAAAAGAGAUCUCUUACUUCGUUAAUAAUAUUAAAAUUGAUUGGUUAUUAGAUAGUUUCUUUGGUUUUGUUUCUCUUUUUCUUUAAUUUAUGAUUUGUUUCUCAUUAAACUAUUUCCAUACUAUUUAUAAUAUAGUAUGGACUCCAUAUUCGAGUAUUUGCAUACUUAUUUCUGUUUGAAUGUGUAAUGAAACAACAUAUAAUUUAUACUUUUUACUCAAUUACCAUUUUUAGUUUGGAAUCUUAAUUAUUCUUGAUUUGAUAAAAUAUCCACUGUUGAGUUGUAACGUAUUGAAACCUAGAUAGAAAAUGACGAACUUUAGGCAAACUGACUAAAGUGCGCGAAUGGAUUAAUUGGGCGAGUUCCAAUUAACCUACCAACACUGUUGGGAGGGUUAAAAAUGAGUUCUAUAAGUGUUAGAAGGGUUUUGGCAUCGAUCAGCGCAAAAUAGAAUCGAGACGGAGCCAAAAAUCAGGUCUGGAGCAAUGUGUACCGGUACAGCAAGCGACCUGUCACCGGUUACACAUGCUGAAACCGGUGACACGAAAAAGUGUACCGGUACACUUUGGGCGAAACUGACAGAUCUGCUCUCGGGUUUGCCUAUGCGUAGUCGUGUAACCGGUGACACGAAAAAGUGUACCGGUACACUUUGGGCCCGACAGCAAAACGAGGUCUGCUGCAAAAUAUAAAGAUUGGGAGGGUUUUUUGGCAAAUGUUACAACAUGUUAAUAGCCCAAUACCCCUUCCCCUCACAGCCAACACCCAUUUCACCCUCUCUCUCAUUUUCCUCUCUUUCUCUCUCUAGAAAGCAAGCCCUAGAGCUUGGAGAAGGUGGAGAAGAGCUUGGAGAAGUGGAUUUUGGUGGCUUUGGUGGUCCUAGAAGCUCUCCAACAAGUAGGCUUUGGUGGAGCUUGGGCAAAGGUGAGUCCUUAUGCAAAAAUGAGUUUAGGGUUUGGGUUUAGACCUUAGAUUUUUGGGUUUUGAUCUCUCUACAAGUGAGGAAAUCCUCUAAGGACCAUGACUCCAUGAAAAACAUGGAUUUCUUAGACCCCUCUCAUGGUGGAUCACUAGGGCUCAAAGUAGAUGCCCUAGGGAUGGUUCUAAAAGCUUAGAAACCUUAUUAGAGAGCUUCCCAUGUGAAUCUAAGCUAUCUUUUGCUUAGGAAUGAGAUCAAUCUCGGAGAAAUGCAAAAAUAACAUGUUAGGGCAUCCCAAAGAGGGGUUUUGCCCAAGUUGGGUUUUGAUCUAUUUUGAUCAUGUAGAAACCUAAUUGAGGGUAUUUUAAACGCGUUGGAACGCUCGGUUCGACAAUCCGACGAGUGUACGCAAAGUUAUUAACAAAAACGUCAUUUUCCGUACAGAUAGCCGCAGCACGCGGACUAGGGCUUCAAAAAUUCCAAGAAAUUCACCGUAGCAUCCUUGUGACCAUCUAAGGUGGGUGGUGCAUUCCAAGGACAUCGGAAAUCCCUUUAUGUCUAAAGCGUCAUAUUUGAGCAUAUGUAUUUAUAUUGAGCAUGUUGCAUAGUAGGGUUAAUUGUAAAUUUUCUUUGCAUGAUAUGAGUUCUAAUGCUUGAGAAAUAGUAGUAAAUGAAUGAGAAUUGGUAACCCUAUAUAUGCAUGACAAGGGACAAGAACCUAGAAGGGUUAGUAAACAAAUGUGACAUGUUGACAUAGAUUUAGCAAGUGACAUUGAUGAGUCUAGAGGACUUAGAAAACAAGUGUGGCAUCAUUGACAAAGAACAAGAACAAGUAGUGACAUUAUGACAUAAACACCUUAGAAUUAAGGGUCAUAUGUACAUGGUUCUCCUUGAAGUCAAGGAAUGGAUUGAACUUAAAAUCCUUAAAGUUAAGGAUUGAUCGUACUCACCUAAUAGUCCUUGCUCGAGGGCGGUAGCUCCCCCUCGGGCGAUGUGCUCCGGAGUUGUCAUCACUGGGUCGUAGCGGUUAUCUCCCCAGAGGGCGGUCCCGUCGGGUUGUAGCGGUUAUCUCCCCGACAAUAGGGAUUUGGGUUGGUGAGUUUGUGAGGGCGAAACCUACGGGCUAGCCAUGAGAUUGGGUAAUGAAAAGUUAAUCUUGCAUUCAUCAUGAGCAUUCUAUCGAGCAUAGUUUUAUUUAUUGUUCAGGCAUAUUAGCUGCAUUUGUUAGUUGGUUAUUAUCUAUUCUUUCUUCUAUUAUGCCUGAUUAGACCUAGUGGGAUAGUCGGCGUGGUUGGUUGCCGAACCCACUGGGAACUUUGUUGUAGUUCUCACCCCACUAUUUCCACAGAGCCGGGACCGAGCGAGCCGGCAGAUGAUCGCGGUAAGGGCAUCGCGCCCUAGGUAGAGACCGCCCGAGAUGGAUUUCAUUUUGUAGUUGCACACCCUUUACUAUCAUCUUUUGUAUUUGAUGAUUUUAGUAUUAUGAACUUGCUUUAAUGAAUGAUGUAAAGGAUAUUUACUUUAAAUGUCAAAUGUUAUAUUUUGGGAGAAAUGAGAUGUAAAAAGAAAUGACGCAAGAAUGUGACAGAACUUGAUUAUAGUUGGAUACAUGUAUGUGAUUUAAAUUUAGUCAUAUUACUUGUAUAUUGAAUGGUUAAUUCUUUCACCUUGGCUAUUGCUUGCCCACGUGCAAGCCAUUGUGUAUGCUUCCGCUUAUGCAAAUUUGUACUCUAUCGAUACUAGUGUUGAGCCUUGGGCGGACAGGGGAAGCUCUGUCCGUUCGGCGUCUGUUUGACGCUCUCGAACCGGCCAAAAAGGAUCGGGCUCGGGGCGUGACAUGAGUGGCCGUUGCUAUUGCAUGCCAAUAGCCGCACAAUUAUUUUGAUACAGACAUCUCAAUAUAGGGCAACCAAAACAUUCAUGGAUUAUAGUUUGAUUAGUCAAGUUAUGAAUGGUAGUUACAUUCAGUCUUUACACAACAACUCAUUUACAAUUUUAAAGUUUGUUUUUAAUCAAUUCUUUAUAUUUAUAGAGAACUAAUUAAAAUGUAUGCAUUAAAUCAUUUUGGCACACUAUCCUUAACCGAGAUAUAUAGAGAAUUUAUUAAAGUGUUAUAAAGGACAUUAAAAUACAUGUAAUUAAAUUAUUUGGCACAUUAUCCUUCUUUUGUGUCUCGAUGUAUAAGCAAAUGUUUCAUGUUAACUAAUUAGCAAAUUGUUUUGCUUAAAUAUUUUUGCAGUUAAACUACGGCAACAAAGCAGGCCGAACAAAUAAUAUCGAGGCACAAAGAAAGGAUGCGUAUUUAUAUAUAACUAUGAACGUGGAAGAGAAAGAACACCACGUACUAGCAGUUCAACUUUUUGUCGAGUCCCUCACAAAAUUCAACUUAUUACCACUUUACUACUAUUUUUAUUUAUUUUAUUUUAAAAUUUGUGGUUACUGUAAAAGUAUUUAUACUUCUUGCUGUUCUAUUCGUAUUAUGUUGGAAUUAUAAACUAUUUUACAAUUGUUUCUGCUUUGUCUGUGCAUGUAUUUUUUUAUCUUUUUUGAUUCAGGCAUUGGACGAUGGUUGCGUGUUGUGUGUUUUAGUUUUUUUUUUUUUUUAAUUUAUACUCUUCUUAUAUCCUUCUUUCUAAAUUUCUGCUUUUUUAUCUAUUGAUUUUUACUAUUUAU